Molecule: long non-coding RNA, 42560 nt
Filed under: Phoenix dactylifera (date palm)
Lineage: Eukaryota; Viridiplantae; Streptophyta; Magnoliopsida; Arecales; Arecaceae
Description: long non-coding RNA (PDAC_LNC001063)
Source: RNAcentral
AAGGAAUUGGUGAAUUAUGUCUAUAUAUAACUGAGAAUUCACAACGGACACAAGUCCAAAUCAGUUACUAGUCCAUAGCAACUUUAGAAUAGAGACCGAAGCAUUCAAACAUGAAACUGUAGCCUAUCCUACUAAUUCCCUGAUACUACUACACGUACUAAUCAAAGUGUGAUACCCAUCCUAUUAUAACAUCACUUAAUAGGACAUUACAUCACCUAUCAAUCUGCACAAUGAUACCCAUCCUAUUAUAACAUCGCUUAAAAAGGACAUGCAUCACCCAUCAAUCUGCACAGAUGGAAUCACUUCAAUGAAGAAAUGCAAUUUCAGAAAUUAAAACAAGGGCACAAAGCAUAUACUUUUCUCACCUGCUCAGCUGUUGGCCUUGCAUCAGCAUCUUUCUGCAGGCAAGCCUCAACAAAUGAGCAGAACUCUGGUGAGUAUGAGUCCUCCGGAGGUGUAGGUGAUAGGUCAUACAAGAUCUGCCAUGACACGCAGGUAGGCAUGGAAAUGAUCAACAGAGUAAAAUGGAAAAUAAAUAUUAUUGAUAUUCAAAAAGCAUGAGAUCAUCUAUCCACUCAAUAAUGUUAACACUCAAGGUGCAACUGUUGUUGUUCAUGAAACCAUCUUCAUUGUAAUUUAACAAUUAAAUUAGGAAACCAUUAAACGUAGUGUCAUUUGUGAGCAAUUCUAUGUUCUCUCUCUAAAGCUGCUUAGAGAGAGAGAGAGAUACUAGGGUUCUGUACCUAACUGAAAGGGAAUAUAUUUUAUAAAUCCUCUAGAUAUAUUUUGACAUCCUACAACCAUGUACUGAUGUGUAGUCUUAAGUGUUUAUACACUACAUAAGAUUAUCACCUGCACUCAUACAUGUUCAAGAUGCAAGUUCAAAUAUGCAUUCACACUCAUACAUACAUCAAGUUAUUAUACAUGUACAACGCAUAUUAUUUCGGGCAAGCAUUUCUAUAAAGCAUGUAUACUUACCUGUUAAAAUUCCGUUCAACAUUUUGGGAUAUGCCACUUACCGGAUGGUAUUUAUGGCAUUCAGUGGCAUGAUGAUCCUGGUCAUUACUAAAGAGGAAGAAUAUCAUACAAGGGCUGAUAAAUCUUCAUGCUGUUGCCAUAGAAAUAGGACAAAUAGAAAAAUGCUAUGAUACCUGUAGAAAGCAUUCACACUUUACAUGAAGAAUAAAGUGAAAUCGCAACAAAGGGAAAAAUAUCUCGGAUGGUUGGACAAAGAAAUGAAGGGGAAAAAAUGCAUGCAACCAAAACUUGAAUUGGCCAAGAACGACGAGUUUCUCGACUCAUAUCGAGAAUGCUACGAAGUUAUGGCAUAAGAGGACAUCGAGAUGGAAAGAAUUAGUGAUAGGUGCAGGUGUGGAUUAUUUAAUGGCAUAAAGUUUUAAAAAAAGAAAUCUACUUAAUGAAGCCAAAUGUGACAUUUCAACUAAUGAUCUCUACUCGUUGAAGCAGCACUAUUUAGGCAUCAUCCUAAUUGUAGUAACAUAUUAGACAAGUAGCAACAACAGUCAUUAUGUAUGUGUUGUAUUCAUACAUAAGCCAUUGUAUAAUGGUCAUAAGAGCUAUUAUUUGAACUUUUCACUGUUGACCUAGUUCAAAUAAAUAUUCUUAGCCUAAGUCUGUAUGCUGAUUUCAAAAAUAUUGUAUAAUCUAAAAAAUGACCUACUCAAAACUCGAUGUUAUCGUCUUUCAUCCCAUUAUAACAGCCAAGAUAAAUUAUUUUAGUUAAAAUAUCUUUUCAGAUGGAAAUAGGUUUGAAGCUGGACUAUGAAAAUGCGGCAAUGCCUAGCUAAAAAGUAACUUGAUGGGCUUAUAACCUUGUUCCACCCUGAAAAAUUAUAUAUAUGCUAUAACAAAAAAAGAAAAUGUGAUUACUCAAAUGAAAGCAAAGGUGGUGGUAGAAAUGGAGAAUUUUAUAAUAAAAAAUAAAAAUUUGCACUAAAGCAUGAUGGGAACAAGAUAUGUCCAGUGCUUGACAUAAUGAGCACAUAUCCCAUUGUAUUCUAGAUGUUCUGCUAGCUUGGAACCAACUGCUGUUCUUCUUAUUUACAGUUAUUUCUUGUAUGCAUUCUGUCCAUCAUGAGGCUUGGGCUCUCAACAAGCACACACAUGAGAUCAUUUUCCGAUCCUGCCAGGAAGGUCUGUAACAUUGAUCUACAAAAUUAGGAUUCAUUCAGAAAGGACUAUAGAGCACUGGCAAAGCUUGUUUAGAGGAGCACCAGUUUAUUUUAGAGCUUAAAACAAGGAAAUUAACCAUUGGCCUUUGCUCACUGUCUAAACUGUCUCACAGUUGGCUGCAUUAUUUAAUGAACAUCAAAAUGUAUUAGCAGUUUUCUAAGAAAGUCUAAUUGCAUGCUAUCCUUCUGCAAUUCUCAAGAUUCAAGAUAUUUUCUGAGCUCCUACAAGGCUCCUCAAGCCUGGUGCAUAUGUUUCUAGCACAUUCUCCUUCAAGGACAAGUUUAUUGGGACAUGAUCCUCGCUGGUGAUGACAUCAUGAUUGCCAUCUAAAAUUGUACCUCCAACAUUAGUUCGACCUCCAACAUUAGUUUGAAAGGAAAGACCUUAACUCCCUCCACAACUUAAAACUUGGGCUUGCCUUCCUCACAAGGUAUUUGUUAUUGCAGUAUAAACACACUUUCAUUUUAAUUAUUCAUGCUUGCUUAGUUGACAGUGACACUGACAUCGUGGAUGAAUUAAUGGAGCUUCAUUUGAAGCUUUGUCCGACAAAUUGCGAACCACAACUAAAUCCUAGUUGGUAUCACUAGCUCAUAGAUGAUCUAAUCUAUAUGGCUAGCUCCACGCAAACAAUUGCACCCGCCACACUAUACGUGGGCCAGUUUAUUAUUUCUCUGCAUUUUCUUCAUUCAAUAACCAUAUUGCACAUUCUUUAAUAUAUUACAGGGGCUUUUAGUCUUUUGCUCUUCUAUUUUGAUUGUAUCCAAAGCAUUGAAUAUCAUUCAUGCUAAUUGAGUUGAUGAUUGUACUAAAGAGGAUCAAGUGAUGAUAACCAAAAGGACAAUCCAAGGGGAUGUCCACGACCCAAUAUCAUACUGUUCUAGGGGUUACUAAGUAUAGGUCUUGUUUAAAUGGAAGGUUCAAUGUACAUCAGAAGUGUUGGUUCUUGAUUUUAAAUUGAUGAUGUUCUAAGUCAUGCUUAGAUAUAAGAUCCACAUAGGGUUCAUAUUAUUGAUUCUUGAUUUUAUUAUAGUUCAGGUUUUAAGUAGUAAUGAACCUUGAGUCACAAGUUGUACCAUCUCUAAAUUAUGGGGGCCUACAACUUAAAUAAGAGGGCUUCAUAUAUGCUUCGUCAUUUCAGUAAGGGCCCUAACUCAUAAAUAGAGGAUGAAGUGAUGGCAAGCUUGCAUAAAAGCAGACCCGUAAGAGGGCAAACAGGAUUUAAAUGUUUUCUCAGGCAAAGGAGCUGAAUAACAAAACUACGCGAAAUCAGUUACAACCUGUCAAGUGGAGGCUGGAAAAAUCAAAAUAGACAACCAAUAAACACUCCAAUAGAGAGGAAAAGAGGAACUACUACUAGGGGAAGCAGUUAACUGGAAUAAUAUGAACAUAUGAAAUCAUGGCGGUCUGACUGCUAACAAUUCAUGAUUUCUUCAAGCUAAGUGCCACAAAUUGACCAAGAUGCUUAAUUGUUAAGUUGAAAUCCAACAUCCAUCAAUGAAUCACUAAAGCGAACUCCUCACUACAUCAGGUACAGAAGUCUUGUUAUGUGCUGAGUUUUCGUAACAGAUUCUCAAAUUGUUUGAUUCUAGACAUGGGUCAUAUAAUACUACAAUUAAACCAUAGAGAUGAACAGCAAAUGACGCAGUCUUAGAUAAUUGAUUGCCUGCUUCUACUAAAAGUACACAAAGAUCUUUGCUUAUAUGUUAUUUGGAGAACAAGUUGAAAAGAUGCAAUAUUUUUUGGACUCCACCAAAUAGGUAUAUGGCAGAUAGAUGCAACGCAGAAUGGCAACCAAAAAGAUGACUACCAAUCAUACGACUUAAAAAAAAAAAGAACUAGUAGUACCUAUCAUGUUCUCAAACUUAAGCUUUUUCAAAAAACUAUAAGAUUUUCCUUGGAUUCAAAAUCCACCAAUAUAACUAUUCAUAAUAGAUUGUUGAUGACACCUAUUUGACUAUUCAAAAAGUGGUGACAGUUGUAUUGCUUUAAUAUAAGAAACUAUUACUUCAAAUGAAUCAGAAUAGCAAAUGUAGUUCAGAAUGAAGGCAUGAUUGAGAAAAAUAAAAACGAAGAAAAUAAAAAACAAUAAGAAAUUUUACCAAACACUAUUUUACCUGCAACAUAAGAUUGGCAGGUCCUUCGUUUGCUGUAUAUGGAAAUUUUCCUGUGCCGCAUUCAAAUAUGGCUAAUCCAAGGCUCCAAAUGUCAGCUGGGUAUGAGUAGUUCUCAUUUCGAAUUCUCUCAGGUGACAUGUAAGUAACAGUACCAACGAAGGUAGCACACUGUCAGAAAAUAUGGAGAGAUGUUACAAAUAUAUACCCUUAAGUUCCACGUCGAAUAGAAGUCAGUUGCAAAAAAGCAACCCUUUAAGAAUCAAAGGCUUGGAAAGUGAUCAUAUUAGAAGAAAUAAACUCAGUGAUUACUAGUAUUGUACGAGAGAUAACAGACCAUCGCCAUUGAAUUCUCUAAGCCUGCACUUAUUCCAAAAUCAGUAAUUUUCGGCUCCCCCUUGAGAUUUAUGAGCAAAUUUGCAGGCUUUAUAUCUCUGUGCACUAGAUGUCUUGUCCCAUGCAAGUAGCUCAACCCCUUGAAAGUUAAAACAUCUAACUGAUCAUACAGAUAAAUAAAUAGGGCACAACAUAAACUAAUAAUAAGCAAUUAUGGAAACAGCAAAUACAAAAAAGAAAUAAUCUUACUCGCAGCAAUUUUUGAACCAUAUGUGAAAGAACUGGCUCUGGUAUACAUUUCUUCACCCUCAAAACAUCUGCAAGUGAACCCCCAUCCAUGUAUUCCAGGGCAAUACUAAUUUGUCCUGAGUCAGGGGAAUAAAAUGCUCCAUGGAAUUCAACUAAACCCGGAUAGCAAGAUGCCUCACAUAGUGUCCUUAUCUCAUUAAGAAGUUGUUGCCUUUUCUCCUUUAAGGGGUAAGAAAAUAUGCAUAACUAACCAAUAUGUUGCAUUCAUCAUAACUUUGAACUUCUCUAAGUACUAAAUAUGGGUGACUAAAUGUAACAUCCAGCUUUAGAUGUCUACACAUGCAACAAAAUCUCUAAAAGAAUGAACAGAUUUUUUAAAUUGAAUGUGCAUGAUUAAUUGCAUGUAUGCUUAUACCGAACGAUACUGAAAAAGAAAAGACCAAAAAUAACAGUAUGGUGUCCGCUAUGAUCACAAGCAAGCNNNNNNNNNNNNNNNNNNNNNNNNNNNNNNNNNNNNNNNNNNNNNNNNNNNNNNNNNNNNGCGGCGGAGUAAGAAAGAGAGAGAGAGAUGAUAUGCAAACAAUUCACCUUGCAUUGAGAAGAUUCAAGAGCCAAUAAAUGACACAGUUGAUGCAGAUGAAAAGGUUCUAGAGGCAAUGUUGGUUCCUUAUUUUUCAAGUAGGGUUUGCACAUGGAGACACACUAUAUUAAAGCUUAGCAUUAUCAAGCAGAUGAGCAAGGAAUUUUGAUGCAUUAGCCCCCCUUCUUGACACAAUUCCAAAACAGUCCCAUUUUCUUAUGGAAAGGCAUCCAUUCUCUGAUUUUUUUUGUGAAAGGAAAAAAAGCCUCUGUCAAUGAAAUAAACAUUGAAUUUUGUUGAUCUCUUCCAUUUAAAUGGUUAUUUUAACCUAAAACCCUUCCAAUCUAAAAUGGACCCUUCUAACUUUUAAUGGUAGUACUUUCAUUUUCACUUAAACCGUGUCCCUGCUAUAGUAUACAAUUUAGUUCAUGAGAACUGUGAAUCAGCAACCAUAUGAUGUACGUCAUGGGAGGCUUCUGGAUCUAAUCCACAGCUUGUUAUAUGAUCAUGGCUUAACUACCAGAUCAUUUACAUUAAAAUUAGUUAUAGUUAUUUAAAAGAAUGAUUGCAAGGCAGCUAAUUUUUAGUUAGAUGAGAGGUGUUGAUUUCUCUUGUUGACCAAAAGUUAGAGGCCCAAUGUCUCUCUUUUCUUAAUAAAAAGGGGGACUGUUUGGGGAUCGGGUUGAAAAACGAGGAUUACUGUGCAGCAAAAGGAAGUUCUCAUGAGCAAAAAGUUAAUCUGCUACAUUUUAUGGCAAUAACUAAAAUUUGAUCAAAGGUAUCUUAAAAGAACUUCUAGGAGUGAAGAUGAACUUCUGCAGACAUAUCAGGGAUUUGACUGCUCCUCACUACAGGUUUCAACUUUGGGUAGUUCAAGAUAUUUGGCUUGUAUAUGACAUGUAUAAGACUGAAGUCCUGAUGGAGGUAGUUGGUCUUUAAUGAUUGUUUAGGAAAUAAAGAGCUACAUGUGAGACCAACUUAAGUGAUUCAAUAUUAGAAACCAUGGAUGCAGUUUUAAGCUGGCGCAAAUAUGGAAAGAAACAGGAGCAAAAUUUUAAACCUUCUCAAAUACGUUUAUCUUCUUCAGGGCCAAAAUUCGGUGAAUGGGUACAUAUAUUGCUCUCUGAACUACACUGCUUGCUCCACAACCUAUGGCUCCAAAAAUAUGCAUAUCACGAGAAGCACAUCGAUACAUCUUUUCUCCUUCCACUUCAUCCACUAUUCCUGCAGUACGCUUUUGCAGACCUAGUUCAUUAAUAUUGUACACUCCACAUGAUCUGCUCAACAAGUUGACUGUUCCACCUUCUGAUACCUUCAGAACACCAAAAGUAAUUUGUUUCUUUCUUAUCAAAAGUAAUAAGCUGUGAUUUAGAUGGUAAUAUGUAUGGCACACAAUGAGCACGUUUCUGGAAAAACUGAAGCAUACUGACUUAUAUUUAAAAGAGAUAUCUAUUAGUGUCAACGAGCACAUGAUAACAUGGAUAUAUUACACAUCUUAGUAAAUGUAGAUAGAAUAAUGUUAGAAGCUUGUAUUGCCAAAAAAAAUUUUAAAAAAAAAGUUGAGCAAAAUUCCCUAUCCAUGUUUAGCAUAAAGAAUAACAAAAGAACUUAGUUUUUUCGGAAGGAAAAUCCACCAAAUGAGGCUACCUUUGUAAGAGGAAAUGGUGCGCCAAUCAGUUUUGUGUCAUCUAUUUACAAGUGUAUUACCUAGUAGUGCAAAUUCUAUAGUCAAAAAGGAAAAAAGAUAAAUAAAUUAAAAAUCAAAUUAAAAUAAUUGACCUUAAUCUUAAAGCAAGGAAACCUCGUUUUUUCCAUUUUUACUGAAUUGGUCGGAGCGUAGACGAGCGAGCAGAGCCCAGGAAAGUUUGCCUUAUUUCUCUAGCAAGCAUUGUAGAUGAUUAAAAUCUCAUAAGAAAUCCCACACACAUGCAUUGCGCACUUAAAAACUUGCAUGCACACAUGCAUACAUGAGAGACUAUACUUCCUCUCUUUAUGGGACAAAGAUUAAAGUUUCCACUGUAACACUGGGGGAAUAAAUUCUAAGCAAGAAGACAAUGCCCUAUCCAGUAUGUUGGCGACAUAAGCUUGGCAAAGCAUUACUUGGUUUUGUUUCUCGAUGUCAACGUAGAGCAAUUUUCUAGAAAUUUGAUUUUUGUACUGAAAUACUUAACCAUAUAUGAGUCACAAGGAUCCAAUGGCAUCCCACUCAAGGGCCCUUUUUCUGAAUCAAAUAAGGGCUCUAAUCUCUUUUUCAGCUCCUCCAGGCCAGCCAUAAUGACUUAUUAUCACUCCAGUCUCAGCUCAUAAUCAAACGCAGAAUGCCGAUAAUCCCUAGGAGAAGAACACGGGUAAGUAUACACUGCAACUUAAUCAAAAUUUCACAUUGUCAGAGUUAGAGCGAUAAUAAGAAAGUGGCCAUAACCAUUACUAGACACAAUAAUUAAAAUGGAAAUUUCAGUAGGAUUGAUUAUUGUUCUACAAUCAAAUCACAAAUCAAACAAAAUCACCGUCACCACAAAAUAUUGGUAAGUUUUCACAAAUCAAUAUUCAUUAACCAUCAUCAAAAUUCGAGAUUCUGCGUAAGCGGGUCAAAACCAAUGAUCAGAAAAGCUGUAGAAAUUGGAGGGAACUAAUUAAAUGGGCUUGAGAUUUUAAAGCACUAAUAAGGAAAAGCAAAAAAGUAUGUACACUAAUCUGAAACAAAAUUGUUAUUGCUUCAAAUUCUCUGCUCGUUUUGUCCCACUAAAAUGCAAUGGACUCGCUACUCUCCACUUUAGCGACUAUUCACAUAGAGGGGAUUUGAGAACUGUCGAAUUUCCUAAAAGCCUUUUUUCUUGAAGCACAUCUAGUACGGAAAAAUAGUCAAUAAUUUGCACUGGCCAAGAUUAGACAAAAAACAAACAAGAAAUAAGGAAAUCCACCAUAACCAUUCUUCCUUUCUAAUAUCUCAAAUUCCUAGAAAGGCUAGAAUGCUUCUAUUCUUUUCUUCUUUUUUUUAACUACUCGGAAGUUUUCAUCGCAAUGUCCAAAUUCUUAAAAACAAAAGAAAAAAGAAAAACAGAAACCCAUAAAUCACUGAACUCAUUAUUUUAUGUUCUCAGUACAUAACAAACGGAAACGAGGGACGGAAUCAAGGAUACAAUCGGCAACCAAUUUCCCAUCAAAACAGAUAAUUUUAGUACGAGAUCACACCUAUGAGCGAAAAAGAAUUCAAGAAUUGAAAAAAAGAGAAAAAAUCGAUAGAAAGCAAACUUUUAGGGGAAGAAGGACGCCGUUCUAAAUAGUGCUUACCGAUAGAAAGCGGAGAAAGGAAGUCCAAAGAUUAACAAUGGAUUUGAUCGAAUUGAGAUCAUGCUCCGAUUCCGCUGGCAGCCUCCGCGCUCGUAUUUUUAACCCCUUCUCUUAUUUCUUUUUUUAAUAAAGAAAUCUUUACCUCGUUUCAUGUUUUAAAUCACCGGAUAUUGAAGCGCUUGGCCACGUGUCGGUCGCCCCUCCCGAAAUGGACCGCCGAGCGCCUGCCACGAUUACCGCCAAUGCGUGGUAUCGCAUCUCCCGUUCGCGUGCGCGCGAAGAUCCGCGCUACCUGCGGCUCCGGCAUCAAGAGUCAUGCCCUCAGGCGAGAGAGCGCACGCAGAAAUAGGCGUGCUCGGACUUCUCCGGAGGAGUCGCCGCGGCCACACUGGUUUGACACAUGGAAGCAACACGCGGCUCUUAAAGCUCGAAAGUGGAAAAUUGCCGAGCAUUGCUUUAAACGGAACCCAACCUUUUCUUUUUGUUCCUCUCACUCCUUUCAAAUAGAACAUUAAUUGGGUGGGAAAAGAUCAUGCAUUUUGGUGAUAAUUGGAACCAAAUCCGCUGGCCCAAGUCAAAUUCUUUGGUUUCGGUCUGACUAUAGCUUUAGAGAAUAAGCAAUCCCAGCCAGAUCCUUCAUGUUCAGAGAUAACUGUAAGGUUAUAAUCCUGCCAACGAGCCCGAGAAGCAGAUCUGCAUAACAUGUAUGCAAGUAUCUUACCAAGAAGGAAGGAGAUUACAAAGUGACAAAUAAAUAUUUUCUUAUGAACGGAAGAGUCAUGGAGGUAUUUUGAAAUCAACGUAUACUGUUUGAGAGGAAAGAGCGGGUAUUUUGAAAUCAACGUAUACAAUAUGCAACUGCCAUUUGUGAUCUCUCUAUCUCCAUGCAUUGAGAUGCCACUGUGAUAUAUAUUAACCUUGCUAAUGUUGGGACAUAGAUUUCGAAACGGAAGCUUCAAGGUAGAGUUCCCCAACCAUCCAUCUUCCUUGCUAGUACCAGAUUCGAAGCUGACACAGUUUCCAAAUUGCAUGUAGGUCCUUACCAAUGGCUUGGAUAAGUUUCAGGAGCAAAAUGUGUCCCUACUAAUUGACUGUAUGUUGGAUCUGUCGUGCGAACUUUUUUUUUUGGUUGCAUCCAUAGAUGUACUCGAUGCAUGGAUAAGAAGCCAGGUGCCAGCAUGAAUGAUAGAUGAGAAAUAUGCUUUGGUCGGGCGUUUCUGCAUCUUAUGCCUCGUGGACACCACACUUUCAACCCAAUCCAACCAUUGAAGUACUUGUUUCUAUUAAUCAUCCCUUGCUAGUUUGUGUUACCAGCUGGAACGUGAUCCUGUUAAUUAUGCCUCAAAUAUUAAUUUGGUCUGGAAAGAUCCUCGACCUUUUUAUCUUCUUCUUUUUCUUUUUUUUCAAUCUAUCAGACCCAGACCCCAUAAACAACAUACGAGAUGAAAGGUGGCACGGUGCAUGCGAGCUCGCCAAGUAAUGACACCACCGCGGCGCCACACGUGUCAUCCCUACAGACACGUACAUGCGCCGUCCCUCUCUACCUCCAAGUUCCUUUAUAAACUCCACCACCACGACCAUCACCUCCUCGCCUCCUCCGGUUGGCGGUAACUUAAUCUCCUAGAGUUGCAGUCAAUUGAUGGCGGAGCGGCACCACCAGGCGCCGCCACCAGCGGCGAUGGAGGAGCUCACCAAGGGCCUGCUCCGUGAGAAGGGUCCUUCGGCCUCGCAGGUCCUGGCGGUGGUCACUCUUCUCCCCAUCGGCGGCAUCCUCCUUGCCCUCUCUGGCAUCAUCCUCGCCGGCACCGUCAUCGGGCUCGCCGCCGUGACGCCGCUGUUCGUGAUCUUCAGCCCGGUGCUGGUACCAGUGGCGUUGGCGAUUGGACUGGCGGUGAUGGGUUUCCUCGCGUCGGGGGCGUUCGGGCUGACGGCGCUGAUGUCACUCUCGUGGGUGGUGAGCUCCGUCAAGGGUCGUCGAGGCCCGAAGCGCAGGCCUCCCCGGGUUCCAGCUGCCCGUUAAGUCGACUUGAAUUUUAGUCUUCCAAAUAGACCUCGUCUUACUUUGUACAAGUUGAAAACUUCCAGCCUCGUAUUAUAUAUGUCGGAGUUUUUGCUACAUGCACCUCAAACAUGCCUGUCCAUGCGAUUAAGUGGAUUCUGUGUAUGCUGUUUCCACCCUUUCGCUUGGCAGGAGGGUGGAAUAUUAAUUUCAGAAGAAGAAAAGAAGGAAAUUGCAGGAAAAAGUUUUUUUUCUUUUUUUUUUGUGGGGGGGCGUGCGGGGGCAAAAUAUAUAUAUAUAUAUAUAUAUUGUCACGCUUGGAGGUGGUUUGAGAUGAUCAUCUGAUCAGUACCUUAGUCAUAGAUCCCAAACCGAUAUUUUGUUUCCUUGAGCCCAGCACAUAAGAGUGGUUCUUUGCAAGAUUCAAGGAAACUGCCGUCAUACACUUUUCACCUUGCCGAAUGUAAAUUACUUGCGUCUUGAUGUAAGGUUUUUGAGUUGCAUACGGAUACGAUUAGAAUACUGCCUAUCACUCUAUCAGUCAGGUGCUUUGUUGCACGUAUCUCCUUUCUGAUACAAAUAUAAUUCAGUUGGUUUAACUUUUUCUAAAAACAAACAAUGGAAAGGUAUACAAUAAUUAUAAGUGAAAAAUGCGUUUUCCAAACGAGACAGUUCUGAGAAAUGGCCGGUAAGUUGAAAGAUGGUCGCAGACCAAACUCAAAACUCAAGCCAAACUCUCAAGCCUACCGUGUCGUGCUGAAGUGCUAGGAGUGUGUGUCUAUAUAUAUAUACACACACACAUAUAUAUACACAUAUAUAUAUAUAUAUAUAUGUAUAUGUGUGCAUAAAUAUGUAUAUAUAUAUAUAUAUAUAUAUAUAUAUAUAUANNNNNNNNNNNNNNNNNNNNNNNNNNNNNNNNNNNNNNNNNNNNNNNNNNNNNNNNNNNNNNNNNNNNNNNNNNNNNNNNNNNNNNNNNNNNNNNNNNNNNNNNNNNNNNNNNNNNNNNNNNNNNNNNNNNNNNNNNNNNNNNNNNNNNNNNNNNNNNNNNNNNNNNNNNNNNNNNNNNNNNNNNNNNNNNNNNNNNNNNNNNNNNNNNNNNNNNNNNNNNNNNNNNNNNNNNNNNNNNNNNNNNNNNNNNNNNNNNNNNNNNNNNNNNNNNNNNNNNNNNNNNNNNNNNNNNNNNNNNNNNNNNNNNNNNNNNNNNNNNNNNNNNNNNNNNNNNNNNNNNNNNNNNNUAAUAUAUAUAUAUAUAUAUAUAUAUAUAUAUAUAUAUAUUGCUACACCAAAUAGCUCAUAUAAAUCUAAUAUAAAUAUAUUUAAAAAAAUUAAAAUAUAACAAAGUUAUGGAGCGCCUUAGAUGGCUCUCUCUCAUCAGUCCAACCCCCGACUCGCGAAAAAUUUUAUCGGAUGUCUAGUCAAACAGAGUCGAACAUGUUAUUGGCACCCCACUGAGAAUCCUUCAGCAGUGAUUUGGCGCGUCCGUCAUCACCACCGUUCUCAUACAGAUAGCGCCAACUCAACGUUUCGGCUCGCAUGUCCACCUUCCUAGUGCUCGUAGUUGCACAACUAAGAGGAAGCUACCUCUGUUAAUUAUACAUAUGCAGCGCGCUUGCAUGGAAGUCGACCGUUACCCUUCUUAUUAACAGGCUUAGGAAGUUGCCUGGUUAAGCUGUUCUAUGCUAAAAAUGCAGCCAUUCAGCUCAAAAUCAGAUCAUAAGAACAACUGCAUUCAAUUUAAAAGCGCAAGCAGAUUUACAAGGACAAACAGGAGCAGGGAAAGAACUAUUUCACACUGAAGAUGUGCUGGAUUUACAACAGCUCUAGGUUUGCAAGCCUGACCUGCUUAUGGAAUGGCAAGUAGUCUUUCAAAGAAAUGCAUGUCCGACACAUCACACGUGCCAAGAAAAUGCGCAUGCUAGCUUCAGCUUCAUUGAUGCCGUCUUGCCUGGGAAAGCCAUUUCCAUUAGCUAACUGUGCUGCCCAUGUGCAGAUUCGCUCUGUGGAUGACCAUAGCUUAUCAACCAAAGGCCCUGAAAUGGCACCCCAGCUGCUGUCUGACAGAAGCGAUGGCAGGGUAACUGGCAGGUCACUUAAGACGCUGGUUGGAUUGAUGAUCAGAAGUGGCAUGUACAUACAACAGCUACCUGCUAGCAAACCUAUAAACUGCAGUGCCUGAAAAUUUUUGAUAAAAAAACGGGGCACAUAUCAUCUUUCAAAGCCAACUUUUAUACCUAAUAACCUAAUAAAUGAUUGAUCCCAACCCAUGAUGAAGUGUAGAUGCAAAAAUGCAUAUCUCAAUGUUAUUUGUAUUUUUACCUUCCAUUUAUACUUAUCCCUUGGUUCCAUCGGUUAGGGUCAGGUUUGUAAAUCAUAAUUUUCACCAUUAAACUAGAUCUGGAUAUGAUAGAAAUAGAGUUUGAUAACUUGUUUGCAGGUGUGCUCUUGCAAUUCUAAUCAGGAUUAGUUAAACAAAUGAAGUCUCAGAAAAAAAGGAAAAAAACAGACAAUUUAACCUGAAGGGUAAUGAGAAGAAAAAAGAUAUAAAAUGACAUUGGGAGAUGAUAUGUUGUGAGAGAUUUAAAGACAAUCUAAAAGAAGUCAGUGAUACAGAUAUCCCUAAAAUAUUCCUGUGCAGGGCAAGAUUCAAUUGCAGAAUAUGGAUUUGAUUGUUCAAUUCGCAUAUCGCCCCCUUUUUUUGUUAAUGAAAGAAUAAAGUACUUGUGCUUUCAUAAAGAACUUUAGGGAUUCACAUAAAGAUUUAGAAUGUGUAUUAUUUUAUGUAUGCUAAUUAGCGAUGGUGUCAUGUACGUGCAAAAAGGCAUUUUCAAAAAAAACAUGAGACCUCCGAGGAGCAUGGCUAUAUGUCAGUGUGUGCAAAUGUAAAGAACUAGAUGAAAUCACUCAAAGCUAGGUUAAGCUGUCUACAGAUGCUUAAAAAAGAAAUAUUAUCUGAAACUUCUCUAAGCAACUACAUCAAAAGAAUUCAAAAUAUAAAAAAGAAUCGUGCUAUCUAAGUUAUAAUGUUAAAUAUGAAAUGUGCUCACCGUUGCAGGGUAUUCUGUUAUGCAGCAUAUCUCUAAUGCAUCAAAAAGCCAUCGUCUUUUGAUACCAACUUCUGCACUGGAUAUAGCUGCAACAACUUCCACAAUAACACUCCACCAGAUACCUGUUAUUUAAAAUAUUCUUAAAAUGCCAAAUAGUAUGCAACAUAAACUGCUUGUCCCGAAUAUGCAGGAUAAAGACUGUCCCCACCCCCCCAAAAAGAAAAAACAAUGCAUACAAAAAAAGGGAGCAUCAAAAUAGCCAUUAUCAUAUUUACCAUGAGUGUUCCUUGCCUCGUAUUUCGUUAAGGGCAAAGGUAGCAAUCGCAUCCAUUGAAAGCGAAAAAGACAGAUAGAAGUAGAAAAUAAAAAUAUUAAGAUCUAUCCUUUGAACUAUAAUUUAUAAAUAAACUCCUCAGAUAAUAGACUUGUUGAUUUUGAAAGGCAAAAAUUUAAAGAAUCUUUCUACGUUAUGUUCAUUGCUGAAACUCUUAUGAACUAAUGUUGUUUGAUGCAGAGGUCGUGAUCAAUUAAGUUGCUCAUAUAUAUUAUAGAGCCGCUGGCCAUUCUAGACAUCACUCCAUGUAAUCGGCCAUCAUACAAGAUUAAAAACCAUUGUAACUGCAUAUAUUGUAGAAACUUAUGAAGGGCAUUCAGUUCUUUUGACCCCACAAGUGUUUAUGGAAUAGCAUGGCCUAAUAUCUUACAUCAUAUGAUCCUAUCACUUCCUCUCUUCGAGAGAAUGGAUUGAGACAGAUUAAAAGUACAUUACACAGAUAUGGGCGAGGUCCAAACAAUCUGGGGUCUUAGGAGGUGUAAAUUGGGGACAGACCUAACCUUCGACAUUUUUAUUACACAAAAUGGCUGCCUCAAGAUGCGAACCUGUGCCAUCGUGCUUGUUAGCCCAAGCCUUUUACCAUUGCACUAUGAAAUGACCCCAAUCAAGUAAUAACCUGAGACAAAUUUCCUUAUUGGUUUUAAAGAUUAUAUUACCAGUCAAUUCUCUUCAUAUAGCACUUUACACUUAACCCUAAACCAUUAUUUUCCUAAAAGUUAAAUGCCCUACAACUUUCACUUCUAAACUCUCCUAUUUGAUGGUGAUUUCCCAAAAUGUCUUUAUUUCGUUUUAUCUUUUUAAAUUUAAAGUCUAUUUUUUAUUGCCCACGUGAAUUUAAAUCAGGAAAUAAUGAGAUCCAUUAUCCACUAUUGUGUUUCCAAUUGAAUCUUAUGUCAUUUGUCCAAUACCCAAGAAAUUUGAAAUUGUUGGUGUAUGGCUCAAAGCAAAUCUACGUAAAUCACUUUCAGAAAACUCCAAGAUAAAGUCCAACAACAUGGGAGUUGAUCUGGGAAGGUAUGUGUCAUUGAAAGUAAAUUCAAUCAAACUGCUGCAGUACCAGCCUUGCAGUGUGGAUCCACCCAUGCACCUCUCUCAAUAGAACUUGGACAAUCUUUUGUCUUCGCUACGAAGAAUUCAUGAACUCCCCAUCUUUGCCAAACUCUACAUUUGUACCAACAAGCGAGGUUUUAAAAACUGCCAGGACAGGAUGAUACAAGAAAUACCGAAUCAUUCCGGCUAAAAAUAGGCACCAAUACAUAGUGUGUCACUACAAAGGGCAGUCCCUUACCGUGCAUCGGUACCCAAAACUGUCGUUCCAGCAAAACCAUGAUACAUGACCCAGUACCAGUAUUUGAAACCUUGCCCUACAGGUCUCCAAGCAAGAAAAUGUUGGCAUGUUUGCACUUACAGUCACGAUCUCUCCAUCCAUAACCUCCACUUAAGGAGUUAGAAAACUUCCAAGCUCACCUUCUGAUUUUCUUUUAAAUUACUUAUGCACUAUUGGUUUUGCCACUCAUAACCACACCCAAAGUAAGCACCAUUUGGAGCCAGUGUAGUUCAUAUAAGUCCAUAAUAUUUUUGUUAUGGAAUUCCUAAUAGAGUUACCACCUAAUGUUCCAUGAGCUUACCUUACUAUUAUAAUUUAUAUGCACCAUUGCUCCUGUUAUGUACAGUCAAUUUUAAUGUAGUAAAUAUUCAUUUCUUCUGUUUAACAUUGCGGUUUUAGGUUUUUUGACUCUCUUGAUCUUCUGGCUAUCAAAGCCUAUACUUUGAUCCUUAGCUCCAAGUCACUAGUAACUUUUGAGCUCUGAGAUCCUACCAUCCGUUAAAUCCUAGGUCAGAGUGACCUCAUUUGACAUUUUGGACUGAAAAGCAACUAUGCUCCACCUGUUAAUUCCCUGAUCCAAUCCAACCAUCCUUAGUAAGAAAUCAUGAAGGGGUCACCAUGCUAGUUUUACAUAGCUGUCACGUGCUUAACACUGAUGCCAGAGACAUGUCUUGGAAUCUUCCACUCAAGAUAUAUUGUCCUCAACUCACAAGAGCUAUUUUAGUAACAAUAAUAGGGAAUAUUGCAAGUUGCCCAACAAUGAACGACCAGAGAUCCUCGCUUCGUUAUAGUGGGAAUGUUUGUGAUAUUUGCAACUAUUAGACUCGGUGAAUAUAUAUGUAUUCCCAUGUCUUCUACAGUUCUACCUAUGCAACACAGUAUGUGGAUGUGAAAAAUCAGUACGACUAUAAUUGUGUUUGAGUUGCAGAAGUUUUUUGGUAGGAUUUGAGUUGCAGAAGUUGACCUUCAGUUUUUGCAUUCAAUAUGUAUGCUCUUAGCUCCCCCAGUUCAGAAACUGGAGCACAUCCAAUCCUAACUAGCCUGGCUUUGGCUAAAAUUCGUUUUGCCACUUCAUUAGACUGGGUUCCUCCAUGAAACAGGUCUGAAACGGGAACCUGUAAAAAGGAACAUAAGCUAUAAAUACCAAACAGCAUAAAAAAAGUGCAAUAAAUACCAUUCUAGUAAUAACAACAAAAAGGGUUUCAAGGUCUCCAAUAAUUUGAAGAAAAAAAAAACUGAAGUCUUAUUUUCAAAUUUGAAACUUUCCAUUUCUACAGAUAACCUGGCAAAUUCAGUCAUGCGAUGCAGAACAUGUGCAAAUAUAUAGCUUCUACAAACAAGACACAAGGGUUGAGCAGUCUGAGUAUAUGUUUAUAUGACGUUAUAGAUAGACCACAUAAAGGAAUAUUUAGAAACAAAUUACAAGGGAAGUAUACGUACUUGCAGCAUAUCCAUCAGCCAAUCUUGUGGUGCCUUAGCCAAGCAUCUUACAGCUUCUGACCACUCCUCUACAGGAGCAACCUGCCCCCCUUCUGAAAUGACAUCACAAGUCAACAAAGGCAAAAAAAAGAACAAGCACUCCAUGCAUUUUUUCAUAUUCAAUAUAACUGACUCUUCAGAGGUCUCAGUGAGGCAUUGACAAAGCCCCUUCCAAAAUGAAACUCUCAAUAACCUUCUCUGAUCUGGUCCAUAAACCAAGUAUGAAGAAGCUGAGGAAUUGAAGUAGUUGACCAAAUCAUCAUACAGUUUUUCUAACCUCAAACCAGAAAAUAGUUUUAAAAAGUCAGACAGGUGGUCGAGCAGUAAUGAUUGCAGAUUUGGCUCUAGUGUCCUGAACCUGGAUAACUCUGUGAGCUCAUCCAAGAAAUGCAGGAGGUGGCUGACAUCAUUUGCAUGAGCUAGAGAGAAAAGUAUACAUUCUUCUCUAAGUAAUUUCGAAGACAGUUCCAUCUGCACCUUGAUAGACGACUGGGCUUCAUACCUCAUGCAACGUCUGACGAUAGCGCCCCAAUCUAAAGUAGGCAAUCUAGGAGCCUCUGAGAGGCAUCUUAAAACAGUUGCAAUUGUGUUUGCAUGUGGUAUCUCACCUGUCUGCAAGUUAGUAAAACAAGUAAAUAUACAACUAAAAGCUUGGUAACAAGAACUGACAAGAUCAAUAUUAAUAUAAAUCAUUUAAGGACGUAUUCACUUAGAAGUGCACACCCUUUUGCCAUAAAGUCAAAAAUUGUCAGCAAAAAUAAAGCAAUCAAUAUGAAUUCCAGAUAUUGAAUCCACAAUUAUCUUCCAAACAAGAUUCAACUUUUUAAGCUUCUUUAACUUGCACAUAUACGUUCUUAUAUGGAAACUGAUUGUCAGGUUUUGUAUGUAAUAUGUAUAAACCAGAAUCUCAUGUAUCAAUUGUGAAUAUUAUAUCUAUAGGAUAUAUGGCCAAACCCAACUAGUUUGGGAUUAAGGCUUAGUUGAGUUAUGGCCUGGUGCAACUUUAUAAGUUGAGGCCAAUUUCACACAUUAGUCAUUCUUUAAUAAUUACCUAGUCUCCAGUCCUCUCAAUGAAUUGAGCUCAUUAUUUUGACCAAACUUAACUUAGUGUUCCAUGGCAUUAUUGUACCCCCGUAAUACCUGUCUCUAUUAGUAACAUGUUGCAAACAUUGUAAUUGUUGAACACUUAAUUUUCCAGAAUUACUGGUGCACAACUUGCCUUAUUGGUUAACUAUACUGCAUACCACGUCUAGAACUACUCAUCAUAUGACACCUGGUGGAUCAACUUAAUUUUAGUAGCUGGCUACAAAAUUUAAUAAUGUUCUAUGGGCUCUUAAAUAUAAUCUUUAUAUUUACGGGAUAUAUGGCCGACCCCAACUAGUUUAGGAUUAAGGCUUACUUGAGUUGAGUAGAGUUGAUGGCCUAUUGCAAUUGUACAAGUUGGGCCAAUUCCGCACAUUAGUUAUUCUUUAAUAAUUACCUAGUCUCCCAUCCUCUCAAUGAAUUGUGUCUCAUUUUUUUGACCAAACCUUGGUCAAGUCUUCCAUGGCCUUAUUGUGCCCCUCUAACACUUGUCUCUAUUAGCAACACAUUGCAUCAUUGGAACUGUUGAACACUUCAUUUUUUCCCGAAUAUGUGCACAACUUGCCUGGUUGGUUAACUACCCUGCAUACCAGUUCUGGAGCCACUUAUCAUACGACACCUUGUGGAUCAACUUAUGAUUAUAUUUUAGCAGCUGGCUACAAAAUUCGUAAUGUUCUCCAGGCACUUAACUCAAGUAUAAACAUAUUUAAAUUCUAGCAGUGGCCCAAAAAGUUAAUAAUGUUUUUUUUCAGGUUCCUAAUUGAACUAUAAACUCAGUUUCUAUAAGUCAAAUAGAUGCUUCUUGUUAUUUACAUAUUCCUUGUAAAGGCUAAAAGUUCAGUAAGACCAUAUUUUUAAGGUAGCUUUAUCAUUUUUGAACACCUUCAUGCCCUAUAUCUAAUGUUUCUUAUGUUAUGCCACACUUGGCCUAUCUCCAAUUUGUACACUAUCAUCUUGAAUAAUGCAUCUCUCAUCUGUUUCCAACUAUAUAGACCUCUAAUAGGCAAGUGCAAGCAUGAUUUCUUCCUUUCCGACCAACUUCUUUUGAUUGGUGGUUAAAAAAGGGAAAUGGGUGAAACCAAUGUGUUACCUUUCGUUUGAGUGCAAACUAAAGAUGAAAGUGAAAUUAGUUUAAUUUCCCUUGACUGUUUCACCAUUAAAAAGGGGACAAUUAUGAACUAAGUGGGAGGGGGAAAUAUUGAGAUGACUGCAUUAAGCUAUGAAUAUGUGUGUGGUAUAAAGCAAGAUGUGAGUGAUGAAACAUGCCAAUGGCUGUGCUCUCACUUGGAGAAAAAGCAGUUAGAAUCUUGUGAUGUCAAUUUAGGAAGUGAUAGAGUGACAAUCAAAUGGCAACAGUUGGAGAAUUUGCACAGAUUUUUAACUAAAAUAAUAUUGACUAAAUUGUGAAUUACUCAAAUUUCAAGACAUUCUUUGCAUCAUUUUGCUCUAACCCAUUAAAGUAAAAUAUGCAACAAAUGGUAAUCAAGUAUACAAAGCACAUAGGAUCAGAUCAGGUGUAAAUUACUUGUCCAACCAAGUAACCAUACGUCUUGCAAGAAGGUAGAAUAUGUGAAUACUCAUGAAACUUGUAGAGUAUAAAAUUACUCAUAGAAUGCAAUUUCUUGAAAUCAUAAUUAGGAUAAAGGAUUUUUACAAAUACUUGAUAUUUUUCUGAAAAAAUGUACAAAAGGUCAGUAAGUAAUUCAGUCACCAAAUUUUUGAGACAAAACAAGGAAAGAAGCCAUUGAUGACAUCCCCAGUGGCAGGUUUCCCUGCAAUGAGGAAAAACAAAAGGAUUCGACGUGUAUUAGAGAUUGUUUCUAGUGCAGAUAUACCAUUUUCCUCAUCAGCCUUUGUUCAACACAAUAAAGAUUCUUCAAUACCCCUUUUGCUGCAUCCAAAUUGGCAAUAUUUUUAUCAUCUUCAAUCACAGUAUAAGUCCAUCAAUUCAGAUACAACCUUAAUAUGACCAGGGUGGCAUCCUUUCCAGACUUCUAAGUUCUAAGAGAAGUUAGACUUUCAUAUUUCACCCAACACAGAAAUUCCUUAAAGACACAAAUUAUGAUUGAGCUUUGGGUGUCCUAGUGCUACAACAUGCUGAUGUGAGCUCUUUCAGUGUAUGUCUCCCAUUAGCAUUAGUUGCUUACUUGUGUACCAACCACUAACGCAAAAAGAAUUCAGUAAAAUGCAGAUAAAACUGACAAUAGAAUCAGCAAACUCACCUUAUUAUAGUCAAUAUCAUUUAGCCACAAGCAGAGUUUCCAAACUAAGCUUUCCUCAGAAAAAUUUUGUGAUGAUUGAUGGAAAUCAAUGGAACUUGUUUGGGAACCAUUGACGUUUUGAAAUUCCUUUGACCACCAUCGGUGUCUAAGAAAUGAAACAGCCCAAGCAGCAUAUUGUUUAACAUGUUGAUCCUUUGAAUUCUUUGCAACCAGAAACAUUUCCUGAACCAUUGAUGUUGAGAGGGUCUCACAAACAGGACUUGAAAGUAUGGGGCCCCUGAUAAAGGUAGACUCCUGCUUAAUAAAAUGAUGGUCAAGUCAGUUAAUGAAGAAGCUACACACUGAAGAACAUCAGGAAAUAACUAAUGACCUGCUCACGAUUAAUUUGCAAAGUGAUGGGCUGAGGAUACACUUCCGUGAGAUCCCCUGCACCUGCACCAAAUGCAUUAACAACUCCAAGCAUCCCACCCAAGUGGACAGGAGGAGGAUAUGGGUGAGUGUAAGUGUUUCUUAGAAUUUCCAGAAGAUGCUUUACAUCAUCAAAUCUCAUAGAGUGCACCCCAUCAUUCAGGAUGCAAGAAAGUAAGGAUCCAGCACCAACAGAGGUUGUCAUCAACAGAUUCUGAUAAAGAGUUCCAGAUUUUUUUAAGUUUAGAAGAUCAGAAAUUAAUGAAGUGUAAAGAUUGAAGAGUGUAUCUAAAUUAUUGUCGACUAAUUCAACUCUCUGGCAAAAACCCACAACUUUGGGAAGUGCAAGACAUGAGCCCAUACAAAGUGGUAUCUCAGCCAGUUCAUUGCAAACUAGGGAACUAUAGGUAGGGGAAUUAACAUGCAAGAUCCAUGAAACUAACAUAUUUUUUAUUUUAAGAACAGCAUCAUGAGCUCCAAAUCUAUAUAGUGCAACCACACAAUUUCCCAAACCCAGUACAAGCCCUGCAAGACCCCAAGCAUCUUCCUCCAAGUUAUCACAGUUUUCAAGGGGCAAGUCUGAAGUGCUUGCUCCAUAUCCAGUCAGUGGAAAGCUAUCAUUGAGGCUCUUAAAUGAAACAGAUGUAGAAGGGCAUAGCUGGCAUAUCAUCCGAGACAAGGUGCUAACAAUAUCAUGAAGCAAUGUAGUUUCUGUAAGCCUAGUACUUCCUUCAAAUUCUGAAUCAUCAGAAAUUCCAGCCCUCGUAAGAAGGUCCUGACAAGCAAAACCAAGACCCACUCCACAAGCUCCUUUCACAAAAGGGCUCUUGCUGUUACAGAUUACCUGAUACAAUGAAUAACCAAAAGCAAGAGCUGUGAAAUACUUUAUUCGAUAGAAACUUGUAAUGACGGUACAAUAACAGAAUCUUAAGUAAACACAAAUGCCAAGACCACUAGUCUAGCAGAAGAAUUACAAACAAGUUUAUGAAAUACAGAUCAGGGUGUAAAUCAUAAAUAGAUAAUAGAUCAUAUUAUAAACUCUUUUGUGGUUGAUAACCUUCAAGAAAAUAAACCACAAGCACAUGACAAAAGGAAAAAAAAGUGUGAAGUGUAUACAACAAUUCCAAUAUAUUAAUCAAACUAUAAUAGCUCAUUUCAAUGCUAGAAAUGUCAUACAGCAAAAAUAUCUCCAAUUAUUUUUAUUUUAACUCAGUUGUAUAUUUUUUAAGUGUUGUGAUAUGAAACAUAAAGCUUUUUAAACACGUGAAAUAUUAGGUUGUAGCUUAAGGAAUUUAAGUUUUGGUUGGUUAGAAAAGGAUCUGCACAAGGAAAAAAGUUUAGCAUCCAACGAGUCCUAGUUCGACUGUUUGAGUGGAAUAAGAUUUGUGCUAAAUGUUAGGUUGCCUUAGAAAGCAUGUUGCUAUUGACAGUAUUAUUAGCAUAAUAUUAUACAUUGCUGAUCAUCUUGUAUACAAUACCUAGUGGCAUUGUAUCUAGAAUCUCAAGAAUCAAGAAUCCUGCAAGAGAACACUUGAUACAGAUAUUUUUGUGUUUUGUUAGAGGACAAGAGGUCUAAAUUAUUUAGUGAUUGAAAUUAAUAGCCUAAAAUGAUACUUCUAGUUAAGUGUCAUACCUUUUUCUUCCAGAGAUUAGCCAAGGUUUGUUUGCUCCAAAGUCUUAUAAAUUUACCUCAAAAGCUGAUUUCGUCCUUCUUUCAUUAUUUUGAUGCACCCCCACCCUUUGAGUGAGAGACAGAGAGGGGGGCUAUACAAAAUCAGUGGGUCAAAGUCUCUCUUGAAGAUUUAUCUUGUCCAUGUCUUUUCUCCCCUCCUUGUGAUCUAGGGUAAUGCAUCAAUCUAAACUGCGAUAUCCACAUGCACUACACGAGAUAGGUUCGAUCUUAUUUAAAAGAACAAACCAAUAAUGUACCUGAAGUAGUCCAUUUAUGACUUCAAACUUUUGCCUUCUAUCUGUUGCAUGAAGACAAUUAGAAACCAGUCCCAAUGAAAGGGCUGCUGACCAUUGUUGGUGUUCAUGUUCAUACUCAAACAACCAUUUCAGAAGAACGUUUGAUGCUGAAGAGAUUACUGCAUGGGCUGAUGAAGGCACAACCUGAGCAAAAAUGAAGUAGCAAAGAGAUGAGUACAAGCAAAUAAGAUAUCGUAAAUGUGAGCUAGAGCAACAAAAAUAGGUUAAAAAAGAUUUGUUAGAAUAUAACAAUCAUUCAACACCAUACAAUAAAAGGCAAUGUCUCAUGGCCGGGCAAAAACACAAUUCAUAUGCCAUAGAUGGAAAAUUAUAAGAGCCCAUAUUUUUUUAAAAGAGUUGGGCCUGGGCUGGCCACUGGGCCGCAUCACGCACGUUGGCAAGGAGGAAGACUCAUGAUAAGAGUUUUUCUCUUCCCCGUUUCCGCCGGAUUCGAGCGGAGCCCUAGGGCUCCUCCAUAAAAGAAUGUUGUCCUUUUCUUCCUCCCUUCUCUCUCUAUCUUCGUGUUUCUCUCUCUAGUUUAUUCAGCAAAACUUUGGGUGAAAGGGACUCAGUGGGUAGUCCUAGCUUGCUACGUGAUAGUGGACCCUUUAGUUACCUCGAAUGAUUUUUGAUGUUAAUUUAGUUUUGUAGGAGAACAAUCUUAUGGGCAAGAGGACAUCGAGCAGGAUUCUGCACACCCUGAUUCGUAGAUCGCAGUGUGGACUGUGGACAGGUAAUUAGUUAGUCUGGAUUGUCGGCAUAGAGGUAAGAAUUCUUGUACACCCACCUGCAUGUUUAUAAAUAUUUUGUAAAUGUAUAUGCAUGAUAUGCUAAUGAUCAAGAUAAGUAAGAUGCAAAAAAAAAUUUUAUGAUGGUUCAUGUAUUAAACAAUAUUUUGAUUAUGUAUACUUGUGAUUAAUACUAUGAUGGAUGCAUAUAUGAGUAUAACUUACAUUUGUAUAAUCAAACUAAUAAAUACGGUGCUCUAGAUUAACCAUGUUAUAUUGAUUGCUCUAUCACAGGCGGAAAACAUGACACUUGUCCCGUCAUAGGCUAGAAAUGUGACACUAAUCGAUUGCUCCAUCAUGGGAGAAAAACGUGACCAUGGUUAGUCUAAAGCCAGAAAUAAAAAGAAUUGAUAUGUGGAUGUGAAUUUGAUUGAAUGAAUAAAGACUCUAGCUGAUCUUGUUAUUAUCGAUUGACCUAUCACAAGCUGAAAAUGUGGCACUAUCAAUUACGCCGUCAUGGGCGGAAAACGUGAUAUCUAUUGAUUGCCCUGUCACGAGCAUGAAAUGCGACCGAAAUUUGGCCUAAAGUCAAAAAGAUAAUCGAUCUUGGAUCCAGAUAGGGUUAAAAAGGAAUGGAAUGAAAAGCUGCCUGUUGAAAAUACUAUUAAAGAUUUAUGAGAUAUCGUAUGAUAUAUCACCCUUGAGUGGUUGGAUUUUUAUUGAUAUUUAUACUGUUUAUUCGAGCAUUGUUGAUAGUCGGUUUGUGAUUUCAUUGUGGGUAAUGAUUUCUUGCUAUUUUCAAACUUAUAUUAUUGUGUUGGUGUGGAUGUCUGAAAAUUCUUACUGGAUCGUAAAGCUCACACCACAUCUUGCUUUUUUCUUUCAAAGUUGCAGGAUGCUUGGUACUUGGCUAUAAUUGGGAUCACGAGUAAAAGGAUAAAUAGAUAGACAAUCAAUGAUACCGGUUAGAUGAUUAAAUUUUGUAAUUGUACAAGUUUUGUUAUUUAUUGUGAAUUGAGAUCAUUAUUAUUCAGUAAUAUUGAGGUUGUAAUAAAUUUUCAAGCCUUGCAUAUUCUCUUGGGCCUUGCCCUAGAGAGUAUACAGUCGUGUCACGUAGCUAACCCAGGUCCUGAGUUCAGGGCUUGACAAAAACCACAUUUUUGUCCAUUAAAUGCUUUGGUAGUAAACCUCCAAAAACAAUAUUUUUGGGUUUUGUGGCAUGUAAGGUGUCAUGAUUAUAUUCAAUGAUGUAAAUUUUCAAUCUCAAUGCCCACCACAUAUUAUGAACCGGUAGCUAUUGGUUUUGAAUCCUACACACAAAAUAGCAGUUAAUCAACUUUCUCUCAAGCUAAAGUUAAACUAGAUCCAGUGGUAAGUAAUUGCACUUGUGACCCUCAGGAGUAGUGCCUUUUGUGCUGACAGCUUCACACUUGACAGGGUGUACUUGUUAGGCCUCAGCAAAAAACUGAGCCAUAUUGGGAGGGUCAUACAUGUUGAAGUCCAAUAACCAUAAGUCAAACCAAAACUCUCUUUUCACAUAUGCAAGAAUGCAUAACUAAGGAUCUGUUAGGCAUCACUUCCAAUAUUCAGUUUUCAAUUUUCAAAAAAACCAAAACCACCUUCUCUUGUUUUGAAGACUGAACCCAAAACUUGUUUGGUAAUACUCAAGUUGUGGCGGCAGUGGUGGUCGGCCGGCUAGCGAGCAGUAACGGUGGCUGGUGGAGGUGCUAAACAAUGGUGGCGAUAAGUGGCCGACAGGCGGUGGCAUAGGGCCAAUGAGGGGGGUGGCAGCGGCAACGGUGUUGGUUAUGGAUGGUUUUUGUUAAAAAAAACCAUGAAAGCUACUCCUAAGAACUUUCACAUAUUUCAGAAAUCAAACUGCAAAAUGCUAAUCAAGAAGUUUCCAGCCUUGAUUUCCUUGAUUUCAAUAUUCUCAUAAACAAAAACCAAAAAUUGAAAACUGACAGUGAUUCCAAAAAGGCCCUAAAUAAGAGAAGGCUUAUUUGUUUGAUGAUGCAAUACGUGAACUUCUGGAAUACUUUAUGCAGUGACAUUCAAAGAUUGAAGCAUCACAUGCCAAUGGCAUGCUGGCUUGGCACUAGCAUAGAACCAUAGCAUGCCAUUCCAUGCCCAUGCCACAUGCCAGUAAGGCACUAGCUUUGUACGUUUUUUAUGUCAUGUCAUACAGUGCCAACCAGCACUAAAUCCAUGUUGACAUUACUCCUGAUAUUCUAAAUAUUGUAGUGUUUUAUAAUGUUAUUGUCAAAAAGAAAUGACAAUGAUUUCAGAUAGUAAUGCUUGGCCAUUAUAUUUCAUUACAAUUCAAAUGAGCAUAUAUCUAAGUAUCUAACUAGCUUACUGGGUGAAAUCAGUUUCAUGAGCAUUAGAGUCAAAUUAAAACAAAUGAAUUAUACUAUAAAGCCAAGUGGGGAAUAUAAGAAUAUAUCUUUUUAAAAAUCUUUUUGAUGCCAUUCAUUGCUGUUAGAAUACCAUUGACUUGGGUUGCUAGGACAAAUUUCUCAAGGAACAUCAACAUAGCAAGGCCUAGAUAAUAUGCAUUAUUUGUUCCAAAAUAACAAAACAUGAAACAUCUCUCUCUACCUCUCUUUCUCUCUCUCUUCUCAUAGAUAACUUUUCUAGACAUGAAGCAAUUAUUGGUUACAAAAGAAGAAUUACAUCUCGUGUCAUGGAUGAUCUCAAAAAGGCUUAGAAGCAUAUGAUUUGCAAACAAGUUAAAGCAAGAAAUCAAUGGUUCCUUGUUCCAUGAGGAUCUCCCAAAACAAGGUUCAGUGAGAGUGUAGAAGGUAACUUGGGUCUUACCAAGGUUAAGGGAAAUUUGAAUGCCUACAGGUGAAAUUGAACAAAAAGGAUAGCAUGUGAAGGACAAUAAAACUCAAAGAACUUAUACCCAAAAAUAUAAAUGAUCUAUGUCAUACAGUAUUAAUAUAUGAUUUUUAUUAGAUAUCAUUUGGUUUGUUUUGAAAAAGCUAAAAAGGAAUAGUGGAAAUGUCUUUAGUGUAUGAUUGCUUCAUACUUCAUAGGUCCUAAAUGACAAGAGUUUGCGGUUUAGAAGAUGCUUAUGACACAGCUAGCCUAUCAAGAUGUAAUUUUCUGGGAUUAGGUUUUAUGAAAUCUUUUAUCUUUAAAGUUAGGAUUUAAAUAAGAUUUAUAGCCAUUAUUAUUGAAAUGGUUUCACUGAAUAAGGUUAUAAGCAAUUUUGUGGAGCUUUAAAUAACUGUUAUUUAAAAUUUGAAUGUUCAAUGGGACAUUGCAUUUUUUUUGCUACUGUAGAUCUCUUCCCUUUGCCCUCUUAUUUCUUUCAUCUCCCAUAAAGUCUCUAUCAUCCUUUUGGGAAACAGUCCUCAGAGAUUCAUUUCUUCUGACAGUCAUCUAAACGUGAAGGUAUUAUUUGUUACUUUUCAUUCUCUUGUUGGUUGGAUUAAAGAUCACUGGAAAUCACGGCUCCUUAUUUUUCUCCCACACGGACAAAUUUUCAAGUUAUAUCAGAUUAUAGAAAUUAAAAUAAGGCUGCGACUGGGCUGCUCAAAAUGGUCCCCAAGAUUCAAAAAAAUGUGAAAGAUCUGAUCUAACAGAGAACUAAAGGCAGCUCAUUUAAUGUUAUCUGGUCAACCAGAAUAAGUACUAAACAUAGCACCUGCCACCUAGCACAUGAUGUUGAAAGGUCAUUCUGAGUAGCAUACAUUAUCGCACUAGGAGCCAUAUAAAGAAGUCAAAUGAGUUCUUUACUCCAAUGCAGUGGCAUUUAAGAAUAACAUCAACAUAAACCAAAUCGCCUAUUGUUAGCAAAAAUUAUGCCACGUUGGGAGUCUGUAAGUGAUACAAAAUGGUAUUGGAAGCUAUAAUAUUCCACAUUAUGAGGGCAAUUUAGUUUGGCGUUGCUUGUAUGACUUUGCUUGUGGAUUUAAUAAUCAAGCAGAUUAAAUUUUCUACUAGCACUUCCAUUAUGGAAAAUAUGAAACUGAUCAGUAAGGCAUACCAAUAUACCAUAAUGAGAUCUCAUCUUACCAUGCAUAGUGCACCAAUAGCAAAGGCUAUGUUUACUGCAACUCGAGGAACAGAAUCUGCGGCAACUUUACACAUUGUCUACACAGGAAUAAAUGUAUAAUUAGCAUGCAGAAACUUCUAUGAGAUACUCAGAAAUCUGUACAAUACCUAAAACUAGAAAAGCCAAGCAAUUUACUCAACCUGAAACAAGGUUAAGCAUAAUAGUAUACAAGAUAAACCAGAAAUACUAGCAAUAAAUUUCACAGCAGGAACACGAGAUCUGCUUGGGAAAAUUAUGUCAUAAUAGCAACAUGCCCUUAAAAAAAAUUAUGUCACUAGUUUGGAGACAUCAAUUCAAGCACUAGCAAGCAUAAACUCAAGCUUGAGUUGUAACUUCUGGAAUAAAGCACAAGCAAAGGGAGUGAUACUACUUAAUUUGAAAUUCAAUUUAAUUGUACAUACUCACCACUAUAGGCCUCUUUCUAGAGCUUUGUGAAGCAUGAACAAGAGAUUUCUAGUCUCUGGAACUAGUUCUGUAUUACAGAAUUCUAAAUUGUUUUUUUGGCUAAAUACGGCAAAUUGUUAAUUGUGUUAUUGUGAAGAAACAACGUUGAGCCUUCAUAUUGCCAAUAAAAGCUGCUGAACUCUCAAACCAAGAAAACAAUAGCCACAAUUGUCAAUUUAUGACAUGAAAUGCUAAGCUACGAGAUGAGAUCAGCAAAAAGUCAUAUUUUCUGCACUUCUUGACCAAAACCAACCUAAGGCACCUAGCAUGGAGGGUUCCUCAUCACCCCUGUACUAUAGUCCUAAAAGCCUGUUAGUCCAGAUUCAUACACAUUGAGCUUAUUUCCCCCAAUUAUGUCCCCCAUCGAUCUGGGCUUACACAACCCAAGAGCCCAAAACUCUCUACAUACGUAUGCUACAAAAGUAAGUCCUAUAACACCAUGUACACCACAUACACAAGCUCAGAAGACAUUCAUGUUUAUGGUAUACCCCAGAUUGGCAGAUCCAUCUUGAACUCACAUGACAGCUACAUGAAGUAGAAUACUUCAUGUGAAUAAACUGCAAGUUUCACAUGGGACAAGGUUUUGGAUUUGCCAUUGGCCUCUCUCAAAAAGUCUCACCAUUGACUAAUUGGCAUAAAAGUUUACAUAAAGGUUUCAAAUCCAGUGUAGCUGAUAUCACAGAAAAGUGAUUCCCUGUUAUCUCAGUCUUAACAAAUCCAUGUUAACAUCUUUCCUCAGGCAUACAUCAGAUAUUAAGUACAUCAGAUCCUUCAAAAACCAUGUCCUAGAGAUACCUCAGCAUAGUUUCUCUGACAAAAAAGUAGAAUUCUCCAAAACAACGAUUGCAAUCAUAAAAUAAGAGGUGAAAGACGAUAAUGAAAAAAAAGUUCAAGGUAAGUAUGCAAUAUCAGUUGUAGGCUUGUAGCAUUAUCUUUUUUGAAAUAAAACAUUGUUUUCACAGUUCUUUCCUAUAAUCACUCUAAGGUAAGUUGUUUGGUUCUGGUAAUCAAGCUAUACUCAAGUUGGUAUAAUAUAAUAUAUCAAUGCCCUAGAUUCCUAUAAAGUGCAUUUAUUUAAUCUGGAGAGAAGGCCUAAAGUUACACUGCAGCACCAUACAAAACGAUGAAGUGAUAACAGACAAGAUAUGCAGCAGUCAUAAAAAAGUGAAGGAGUGAACCUUGAAGAUAUCGCUGGCAGCCCUUGAACUUUUAUCCAAUCCAUCAGAAGAACCUUUAGCAUCAGUAUGAAUAGCCACUGCCCCCAUCCAAUGGUGAAUGAAAGGUUUCCACGAUUGCAGUGCAAGAAGUGCAAACAAUAUAUUUCUCGAUGUAUGAAGGGACUCAGCUAUUUCCAACAGUGUCUUUUCAUAAACAGAAUGUAGUUUGCGAAAAUCCUAUAGGUAAACCACAUUUACAGGAAAAAAAUCAAUAGUGUAAUUUUCAAUUCUUAAAGAACUAAAAGCAUCAUCAACCACUAGGCAGUAGUAUAGAAGCCUCACCUUUGAUGUCCCAUUGCCAAUGGGAUCCUUAGAAGUGAAAACAAGAGAUAGCAGAGCUGCACCAGGUAACUCAACAUGUUUUUGUUCCCCUGCAUAAAAACAUUAGAACCAGGUUCUUAAAUCAACUUUCUGGCUUCAAAACAGUUGUAACAGAUACUAAUAUGUAACAAACAUAAAAGUCGAGAAUGAUAAAAGCAAUAAACAUUCACAAAACGUAAGAUUUGCACCAAGAGACUUUAUUCAGAUCAACAAAAUGAAAAUUUCAAAGAACGCCAAAAUGACCCGAACCGGCAGUUCAGCCCAUACCAAACUGAACCGACGCCGACCCAGAUAUGCGGCAUGCUACUAAAAGGCCAUUUGUCUAAAAUUAACAACCAGUAUUUCUUGAUACCUGGAGAAAACAUAGCCAGAGGAAAGGCAUCCAAUAAUUUUUCAACCUUGUGCACCAUGACUCUUUUCUCCUUAUGAAAUCUACGUCGAGUUCUGGAGUCAAUAUACAAAUCUUAUUAAGUGCACAUCAAUCAUUUUUCAAAUAAUAAGAAGAUAUAUGUUAAAUUAAUAAAAAUGAUGUUGACAUGUGUUCAAAUUUGAUAAUCUUGACUUGGAAUUCCUCCUUGGCCUUGAGUACUUCCACAUUAUCUUCAGAAACGAGACACUGAAAAUUUCUUCUCUUAAAAUCAGAAAUCUUGUCCUGAAUUUGUGCAACCUGAGAUUUUUUAAUUUACGUGAAGAAAUGAGAGAUGAGCCAUUUCAGCUACAAAGAAAGAAUACAAAUAUUUUAAGAAAUCAACCAGUUAAAAAGAUCAAAAUGUACCAAAAAAGAAAAUUUUACUCUAGGAAAUAAAAGGCAUAUGUGGGAGGAGUGAGUCAUUGAGCCACAAUGGACAAUAGCCUCACCUCAUAAUGGGACAAGGACUUAAAGGCAGCAACCCGUGCUUUCACCCAUAAAGAUUCCAAAAUACAGCUCCUAGAUGUUCCAACUUCCCACAAAAUCUGCACAACAGUUUUUGCAGCUUCAGGGUAAGCUUCUGCAUCCAUCGCACCCCAUCUUAACAAGGUGCACAAGCUGCACAAUGGUUUGGGAGAACAAAAAAAAAUGAACAACGGCACAAAUGUGAAGCUAAGAUUAACUUAAAUAACAAAGCAAUGAAUGCUUUAGGUAAUCCUUUAAUAGUAUGAGCUAUUGACAACUCCAAACUCCCCAAGAAGUUCCGUGAUGAUAUGUGAAAGGGUGUGCGUUAAUGUGGUCAUAGAGAAGGAAAAAAGGGCAAAAAGGAAUCAUGGACCCAAGCCCAUAAAAAUGAAACAAAGCAAGUUAGUUUACCAACAUUUAAUUAUGCUAUUUUUGGUGGUGAAGCAUUUUUUUCAGUAUGCUUUUAUUAUUGUCGGGCCUCUAGUUAUUUCACCAAUUAUUUAUUCAACUAUUUUCCAUUGCCACUAAACUAAGCAUCAUUGGUUUUUCCAUAUUCAUUUCUGACUGCCACGUGCUAAAGAGAUUAUUUCGACGAUAAUUUCCUUUCAGUCAAAAAUGUUUGCUUGCAAGAAAUAUACAUGAGUGGUCAAAGAAUGGUCUGUGACCAGGUAUAAGCCCAGGCCACACAAAUAGAAUAGUCAUUGUAUAGCCCAAGGGGCAUUUUGAUCUCCUGGAACAACAUGGUUAUUUUAAUUCGUACCGCUUUUUCUCCCUUCUGUUUAUCUACUUUCUUCAUUCUUCGCUUUUUCUUCUUUAUUUCAGAUCAACUGCAGUCUGCACCUUCAGGAUUUUCUCAUUUGUUGCAAUCAACUCACAUGUUUGCAUGAUUUAAGGCACUUAAAUUUAAAAAAGAUGACACGUAGGAGAUACUAACUUUGCACCUAUAUGAUGGCUAUUGGUCUUUUUUUUAAAUAACAAACAGAUACCAUUAAGAAAUUAAUUGUUAUGUUCAAGUCAUCAAAUAAAACAAAUACACAAAAUGACAGUGAGCUCUCUAAAUCAUAGUAUGAUUAUUGGCUAGUCAUUUAGGCUCAAUAUUCCCAAAAAAAAAAAACCAUCAAUAUUAUUUAAAAUGUAAUGUUGGCGAAUAAAGGCUACAUAAUUUAAUUAUUAGACAACGAUAGAAUAAGCCAAUUGGAGCAUGCACAGCAAGAGCCACAAAUGGCCUCUAUUUCAGGUUCAAAUUAUAAAAAGGUGUUUGACUAAACAAUUAAGGAUUGGAAGAGCGAAUUUUUAAGGCAUUUGGGUAUUCCUGCUGGAAAUCAGGCCUAUUGGCCUGGCCAGCCCGCAAGUCUCCUAAAGGCCAACCAAGACUUAGCCUAAAUCCCAGUCCAUGGGCCUGUUGAUCUGCAAGAAGGAAAAAAAGACCCAUGAAGAUCUUUUUUUUUUCCUCCCACAGGAUUGGAGUUGGGAGGGUGUUGGGUUGAUAUGGGCCCUAUCCACAUGGGCUUCCCAAUCCACGAAUCUAGCAAGAAAUCCAACCCAAUCUUGCUGGAUUUCCCAAACAAGACCUAAAGGGAAAUACAUUAGGGUUGUCUUGUAGUUGACGAGAAAAAAGUCAAAAUGAAACCAUGUAGAUGACACAAGAAACUGACAAAAUUCCAAAGUAAUGGCAUAGUUCUUGUAACAAUUUAUUUGCUUAAAUUCGAAUUUUUUGGUGCAAAAAUGAAAUGGAUGUUGAUGAUCAAGAAAGAUGCAUGCAAAAUGUCAUCAUAUAGGCAUCUUGCUUAUGAGCAAUCUUGUUGAACCAUGUCGUGUGCUUUGUAAAAGGUAGCAAAAGAAUAGAUCAAGGGAAAUUGAGUUAAAGAAUUAUAGAAUACUUGAGCCACUCAAUCCCCUCCAAAGAAAAGGAUAACAUACUGGAGGUCUACUUACCCAUGCGCAACAAUAGGAUCAACAGAAUGAUCAAGCAUAUGCUUCGAAAUAACAUUCCAGGCUGUGUAAAAAUCUGCUAAGAAGAUAGAUUUCAUGAGUGGAAAACAUUACUUGCAUGACCACAUAUGUGACAAUCCACUGAUAAGGGAAACAGUAGUGGACUUAGAUAAAGUUUUUCUGAAAAAAUUGAGCAAUGGAAGCAGUUCACAAAUACAAUUAUUAACAUAAAGCAUGUCUGACACAAUCAGUAUAAAACCCAAUUGGUCCUGCUAGGAAGUCAUUUAAGUAAUAAUAGCUAGAAAAAUAUAAUAAAAAGCACUCAUGUUUCCUGUCAUGACACCUUUUCAUCUUAAUUGAGAUCCAUAAGAAGCAAGCACAUAAGAGAUUACUCAUGUAACAAGGAAAAUUAGCAAGCGUCGGAUCCGAGUAAAUGGAAGCACUUUAUCUAAGACUGCUAAUUUAUUAGGUGGUAUUCUAAUCUGUCUCAAUUUUCACUAGAAUACCCCUUUUAGUAGAUAUUAGAUAGCAAACACAUGCAGCAGAAAGACAUCCAUACAGAAUUAUUUUAAGUUAAAUUUCUACAAAAUAUACAUUUGACAGGAAUUCAUAGAACAUAUCUUUCAGAUACCUAAGUAGAGCUAGUGACACUUCCUAGAGAAGCAAACCAUGAUGUCUGCAAGCACCUAAACUCAUCCCUUUUAUUGACUGUCUUCACUUCCAUUGUUAGUCAUUAAAUGCGAAAGUUGUUAACUAGAAACUUUGGAAUGUGAAACGUUAGCCUCCCCAAAUAUAGGUUGUUGAAGAUUGACUUGAUGAAAUCAUGUUUCGAUUAUGGCAUAGUGUUCUUCGGUUGAUAUGUGACGGGUUUUGAAUUGUUAGGCCCUGGUGUAAUGGUUUUGCACCCAACUAGCGCAAGCCAACAUUUUGAAGUGGUGAAUCACAGACUACAAAACUCACCAGAAAAUCAAGCCUUCCACUAGCGUCAACCAUAUAUACGGCAUGAAAAAGAGGGGUUCAGACUGAAUUAAAUACAGAAUUAGAAGCAUCUCUCUUUCCUUAUCCCCCCACCCCCACCCCUUACCCAGGUCCAGAUUUUUGAGGAUGCACCAUCCAAGAAUCAAAACCAAAACCUCCAAUUGCCAAGCAGAGGGGUGUGACCACCAGGAUAGUCUUGGUUCAUCCUAUUCUAUUCAUAUUACUGUAACAGCCAUUAUGGCUCUACUUCACAGGCUUGGGUAACGAUCUAACCAUUAUGGCUUCUUUAGAUCAAUCCUUGAUGAUUUGAUACAAAUUGCACUACAAUUACCCAGAUCCAAUUUUUUAAGGAUUCACUACCCAAGAAUCAAACCAAAACCUUCGAUUGUAAGUAGAGGGGUCUGACCAUCGAGACAAGUCCUAGUUCAUCCUUUUGUAUUCAUAUUACUGUAACAGCCUCUAUGGCUCUACUUCGCAGGCUUGGGUAAUCAUUACACCACUAAGGUUUCUUUGAACAUAGCUCAUAAAGCAUCUUGUUUAGUGGUCAAGAUCAAUCCUUCAUAAUUUGAGUCAAAAUGACACAAGACAUGCAUCGAAAUUGAUUAUCAAUUUUAAGUGUUUGUUCUGAUCUUCUAGUCUAUUAACAAAGAUCAGGAGCAUUUCUAACAUAGGAAUAGAUUACAAAUGUUCUUCAGAUCUAUCUUUUGGGUAAAGAAUAGCCAACACGGGUGUGCAUGUUUCCAACAAAUUUUCGCCAAAGAGCUUAUUUGAGGGUUUCUGAUUAGUUCCAUGACAAAGUUGCGAAAAAGUCAGAGAAAUAUCUUCAUACUUAUGCAUGAUAUUGUGCGUUCUCUUCUUAUAGGUAUCUCCACAUUAGUUAUUCACACUAACAGACUAGCCUUAAUCUAUUCUACAUCUCAUCUACUGAAUGUUCAUUUUUCCUACUUAGACUAUUCUGCCUUGACGACCUUUAUAGCCUAUGGAUUGUGAACCUAUUUUUCCAUUAGGCCGAUACAACAUUUUCUUUAGUUGUCAAUAUGAUAGUGGAACUCUAAAGAACUCUUGAUAUCGUUCGCUUCCCAAAAUUCUCAAGAUAUUUAAUGCUUAUUCCUUCUGUGAUCAGUUCCUCAAAGCAAUCCUUCGUGAUAAAAUCAAUGUCAUCAUCAACCAUUUCUAUCCAUAAUUGAUAUGGUCAUAUCGUUUUUGGCUAAAAAUAUAUGAAUUUUAAUGAAGAGGCCUGAGUUCCACAAUCUAAUGGCAUACUAGCAUACUAAAUCCUGGCUAUUAACCAAGGUUUUAAAUAAUGUGGAACAGGAUUGUCCUGAUUUUUCCAUGGAACAAGAUCCCCCGCAUAUCGACACGGAAGAUGGUUGAUGUCUCAUCUCCUCCUGGUCUAUUUUCCAACUCUUCUCGUCCCGACACUCGGGACAAUAGGAUGUCCUGCCAUCCAACUGGUACUUAAAGUGAAACAUUGUUUGCUUCAUCCAAGGUAUUCCGAACCGGUACCGGUAGGCGUACUGGUGGCCUAUCAAACUGAUUCAUCAUUCUUGGUACCAUUUCGGUAUCGGGGCCGUACUGAGAGCCCCAGUCGGAGCUGGAGAAGACGAGGUGAAAAAGAGAGUGAGCAGGGGAGGGAGGGAGAAAGAGAGGCCUCUGUCGCCCGCAGAGGGCCGCAGGGAGCCGGCAAAGGCCACAGGGGGCCGGCAGAGCCUGCAACCCCUUGUUUCUUUCCAAACAGGGAACGUGGCCAUAGAAAAAAAACUCCAAAUUUUUCGUUUGCCGACUUCACUUAAAAAACUCCAAAUUUUUUUCCGCGGCCCCAUCUCAUGUUUCUUUCGAAACAGGGGAUGCGGUCGCGGCUUCAGCCUCUGCCACCCCCCCCAGUGGCCUCCCCCCGCCCCCCACAACCCUCCACGGGCAGCGAAGGCUUCUCCUCCCUCCCUCCCCCGCUCGCACUCUCCUCUCUUCUUCUUCCCCGGUUCCGGCUGAGUUCUCUCGAUACGAGCCCUGUAUCAUUUUUUAUUGCGGAACCGGUUUGGUACAGACUAAACCAGCUAGUACGGGUUGAUUCAGCAUAUGGCUCCAUCUAUCUAGCUUUAGCUUUCCUACCUAACCAUAUUUAACAGCCUUUAUGUCAACAUAGUUUUCUAGAACAAAUAUAGUUAGCCUUAAAAAAUAAAUAAAUAAAUAGUAUCUGUGAGAGCGCUUGUGUGUAGCCUCUAUAUCAAAUUAGUUUUCUAGAAGGAAUAAAGUUGGCCUUAAAAUAAAUGAAUAAAUGAGUGUGAUAGUGUUUUUGAGUGUGUGUCUGAAAUGAAUACUAUUGGCCUUAAAAAAUAAUAAAUAAAUACUAUUUGUUUUUGUGUUUGUGUGUAUUUAGUAGCCUCUAUGUCAAAUUAGUUUUCUAGAACAAAUAUUGUUGGCCUUAAAAUAAAUAGCUAAACAUAUAAAUAAAUACCAGACGUGUGUGUUGUGAAUCCUCAACAAGAGUCUAGAAAUAUCUUGGAUGUGAAUUUUCACCUCUCUUUUUUUUUCUGAAUCUUGACCAAAACCAUAAUUAUGUGUUCUUCUAAUUGCUCUAUAUAGACAAGACUUAUUUGGCAAAUAUAUCCUAUCUACAAUCAUGGGGUUCACAUUUUCCAGAUUUCGUUAGAUCAUCAACCUUGUUAAUUGUUGUUGCUCGUCUACCCCAUUUAGGUGUUCACAUAGUUGUCUCCAAGUUCUUUUGAAAGAAAAUUUUUCUAUUUUCUAUACACGACUUCAAAUUAUUACUUGAAGUUUGAAAUAUCACUACUAGAAGCACCUAUUUUUAAUAUUAGCUCAUCAUUUUCAAAGAGAAGACCCAACACACUAAAAUAUUUAUCUCAUAACAAGAACUAGUUUGAUUUUAUUUUUAGAUGAAUUAAACCAUUUAAUCAAGAUGAAAAGAACCACUUCCCAGAAGAGAAAGAUAUUAAGAAUUUUUCAGAUGGGCAAACACAAACAUGGAUGACUUGUCAAUAUUUAUGAUGGUUGAUAGAAACAUGUCGCCAUGAUGCAAAGAUGUGGCAGAUGCUAUAGUGAAUAUAGGAUAGGGGACUAAGCAGGGAUGAAUGGGUGAGGAUAAGGUAGCAUUAUGUGUUAACAUUUUGGUCUAGGCAUACUGAAUGGAUGCUCCAAAUUCCCUAAAUAUAUCGAAAUAUAUAAAAUUCAACUCUAGGAUUUUGAGCCAACCCGCACCCACGGGACUCACUGAAUCUUGGCCAGGCAACUGUGAGUGCUGAGUCUGUAUUCAAAUUAGAUAUUGAAUUUGGGGCACAAAUAAGUCCCCAAACCCAUUGUCAUUUGUCUAAGGCCUGGCCAGAAGCUCUGCCGGAUCAAGCCCAUUAGCAGCCUUAGAUAAAAAGGACUGGUGAACCCUAAUUAAACAACUGACAUUGUAUAAGAGUAUACUUGUACAGCACAGUAAUAAUAUGAUGACUCUAAAAUACAAAACAUUACUAACUGAGGAAAAAAAAAGAAGCUAAAUUGCUGGUCUUUAAACAAGAUGGUUGUAAAGUUGUCAUACAAGCAAAGAAGUAUUACCAACUACAUCUUCCUUGCAAAGAUGGGCAAGGCUUUCAAGACCAAGAGCUUGUACAAUCGGAUCUCUGCUCUCGAUACAUGACUGUUAAUAUAGAAGAAUAUAGAUAAAGUUUCUAAAGUGUAGCCAAACAAGCAUGGAAAGAGUUUUAAGGAUUCAUACCGACACAGAUAGUAUAAGGUCAACACCCCUAUCAGGAUUGUGCCUGCAAACAUCGCGUAUUGAAGCAGCAACACUAAUACAAAUUUCUCUCUCAGAGGUAAAAAAAGAAAAUGCUUCAGGAUCCAAGACUCCCUAUUUGAGAGGGGGAGGGGUACCAUUAGCAAAGAACUGGACGCCACAAAAAAGUCAAGCAGGUAUUUUCUAUCUAAUGAAAAGUAAUAAUAGAUAUCUGUGACAAAAAAAAUUCACCAAUUUAGUGGUUAACAUAAAGGCAUUAUUAGUAUAUCAUAGAGAAAAGCUGAUGAAAAGCUUGCGUGAGUGGGCAUGAAAAAUUCAACCCCUUCAGUCUACAACUAAAGGAUAAAUGCAUAAGUCUGUCAUCUCUUUUCAGCUUCUCACACUCUACAAUCAGGUAUAAACUAUCAUGCCAAUAUAUUGGCAUGGAUCUAAAUAUUUUAUGUAGUUAAAACAAAUUGCACAACUUUUCAAUUGAAUUAUUAGAUGUGCAUAAAAGCGAAAAUAUCUUAACCAACUCAUGAUGUACAAAACAAAGGGUGAAGAAUUUGAGAAAAUAUAAUGAUGCAAACUAAUGCUCAUUCACAAGUAGCCAUAUAGACUGUUCUUAGUCAAAGAUGGUCCACAUUGAACAAUAAUUUGUUUAUAUAGAGAGCAUACGGAUGAUUUCUUUCUGUGAGUCUAGUUAAGUGGCAUACUACAAAACUAAGGAAUAUGAAUAUGACAGAUGAGUCAUAGUAGUUAUAAGCAGUCAUCAUAUUGAACAGAAGUAAGACAUCUAAACCAAUAACAGCAUGUAAAUUAACGAUACAAGCAGCAGAAGUGUUGAACCCAAGAAAAAAAGUUGUAGGAAGAGGCUAUUGAACUUCUUCUAACAUGAAAGAUGCAAGGGGAUUGGUUGGAUGAACUUGGCCUGCUACAUCUCAUUCUAUGUUGAUGUUCGCAGUAUCGCAAGAAAGAAAAGUGAAAGUUCCAUGAAUUUAAAUCCCAGUACCUGGCCCCAUCUCAGUUUGCUCUUGGGAUGGUAUGGUACCAGGAUGGGAUAGUACUAUUUGAACAGACCAAAACAGUCAACAAUGACCAGAAUAAAAAAAAAAAGCACCCCGAUCUUUAUCGAUCCAUCUAACAGAAUGGUCAGGACAUUUCAAAAAACCGGCGUCCAGCACCUGUAUCGGUCUUGUUUUCUUGUCAGAACAGUAUGGACUGAGGAUACCAUCCUGUUCUAGUGGGACUUCAAUCUUUAAUUACUAGCAUCUAAUCAGGAAGGAAGAAACACAGUCUUAACUCAUUAGAUGAAGUUUUAUUAGCAAAAUACCAGUGCCAAACAUUAAGAAUGUUAAUCUAUGUGGCUGUACCCACAUGCUUGUACACUCAAAAGCUAUGAUAUAGCCAAAACAGAAACAAUUCUCAUCUGGCGACAAGGAUACUAGUGCCUCCCACGGCAAACUCUCAAAAUCCAGAUGCAGCAACAUGGAGGUUAUACAAUAAGAAUGUGCACAUACACAUAUAGUUGAUAAGGAUAGUCAAAUAGUGACAUGAAUACACAUGCCCACAGAAUCAUUGUUCACAAGUAUUUGUAGUUCUCUACAUUUACUUUCAUGAAUUCUGUCAACAAAAGCAAGUAAUUACUUAAUGACAUCAGUCAUAGAUCAAAGUGGACAGUGACCAGGAUAGGGCUUCACUUACAAUGAAUGAAAUAAUAUUUUCAGCUUUGAGUCUCCUAAAAAAAUUACAGAUUAUGGAGCAAAUAAAGCUAGAACAAAUCAGUCAGCAGAUAAACUUCGUUUUUGUACUUGUCACAUGUACCUGGGAAGGCCAUGCUUGCUGCCAAACCCACGUCCUAAUACUUACGCAGUUACACCCCCUCAUCAACCAGCACUUGUUAUUAGCAUAACUUUGAUUAUUCUGGUAAGUUUUGUAGUUUUUUUCAAAUAUUUACAAUCUUGUGAUAUAUAAUAUGCAGCCACAAUACGAAUAAGCUUUUGCUAUUGAGUUGUAUUUAACAAUAAGUAACAUGUAAGAAUCUUUUGAGCCCUAGAUCUUAAAUCUGUCCUUGCUACCAUACCAAAUUUGCACCCAAAUCUCCAGGCAAUUAAAUAUGGCUCCUUGCAUCUGGCAAUUUUACAAGUAUACCCAUGCAGAUGAUGCUUAGUUGAUAACAAAUUAUAAGAGAUCAGAGAUGCCCAUAAUGUCAACUAAGAUGAUGAAAAGAAGUAAUUUUCUUACUUGCAAAGUUCCAAAGGCCCGAUCUGUAACAAUCCAUGUCUUACAAAGCAAACGGAUAGCUGUAGCAUAUAACACUCUGAAAAAGCAAUAUUAGAAAAUUAAUAAAAUCCACCAACAACAACAACAACCGUAAUCAUAGAAAUAAUAAGUAAAAAACAAUAAUGCCUACAAAAAUUGCAACAAAACUGAAAAUCAUGUCACAAAUCAUGCAACUCUUGACAAUGCCUUCUAACAAGAUACGCCAUCUCGAUACCAGGGCCCCAAACUGGUACAACCCUGUUACUGUGUCGGUAUGCCUGGUAUAGGGGCCAAUUCGGCAUACCGAGUAUCGAUACGCUCCCAGUGCCGCAUACCAGUAAUGAACUAGUACAAUAUGGUAUGCCUCAUACCAUCCGUUUCGUUUCGGUAUGGUAUGGCAUACCUCGCCUUGUACUAUACAAGUGGAUUCAAGUCCCAAACCUCUAAGCUGCAAAUAUAAUUCUCAAAUAUCAACUAAGCGACGGGCAACAACCCACGGUUGAUCAUACACUAAUCAAUGAGAAAAUGGUUGAUUUAUAAGAUAACAAAAAAAGCUGUCCUAGUGUACAAGGCUCCUACCACGGCAAUAAUUCAAGAGAAUCACCGGACUCGAUGUAGACCAUUUUGGCCACUACAAGUAUUCAGGAGGAUCACCAAAUUCAAUGUGGAUUACUUAGGCCACUAAGAGUAUCCCAAGAGAUCACCAAACUCGACGUGGAACACUUUGUCCACUACAAGUAUUCAGGAGAAUCACCAGACUCGAUGUGAAACACUUUGGCCACUAUGAGUAUUUAGGAGGAUCACCGACUCGAUAUGGACCACUUUGGCCACUACGGAUAUUCAGGAGGAUCACCAGACUCGAUGUAGAUCACUUUAGCCACUACAAGUAUUCAAGAGGAUCACUAGACUCGAUGUGGAAUAUUUUGACCACCACGAGCAGAGUUGGAUAAAGCUCAAGAGCGAGAUCUGCCACAUCAGAAAGCCGAGUCGCAGACUAAACUUUUAAAAGUUAUAAUUUGGUCAUACGAUGCCCGAUUGAGAUGAUCUUUUUUUUGAAAUUUGGUAUCUUUUUGAGAUCUACAACUAGAAUUAAAUCGGGCCGAAAAUCUAUCGCUUAAAUCUCGAAACAGGCCAGUCAAACCGAAAGUUCUCUUUUCGGAUAAGACUUUGACCGGGCGUGGCUCUAUAUCCGAGAAGAAUCGGACAGAGUGACAAAGUAGAGUUGAUGUAGAAGUCGAGAUUUAUCUCUUUGAAAUUUUUAGCUUGUUCUAGAAGAUUUCUACAAGAUGUGUAUUUAGAAAAAAUAGUCCUACUAGGAUUAGAAAGAGAAAUCCGACCCAAAUUAUUUUGGGACAGACCUCACAUAAUAAAUAGAGGCUAUGUACCUUCUUUUUAUUAAUCAUUAAUGGAAAAAAAGGGGUCUUAAGCCGUACUUUCGAGAUUCCUUCUUUUAAUUCUUUUGAGCGAUCCGAAUUGAGUGGGUUAAAGAAAAUCUUUCUUCUUCCCGAUUGGAUCAAGUUGGUAUCAAAGCUUCAGUCCUCUACAUCUGUGGGAGCCUUAGUGCAUGGUCCAGAUGCACAAGCGAUACAAGCAGUAAGGAGAAGGAUUAUCCGUGCUUAAAGUACAUUGAAGGAUAAAAGCGAAUAUGAUUGCUAGUUCUACCUCGAUGGAUGAUGAGAUGAUGAAACGUCUCACAUAACUAGAAAAGAAGACAGCCCAUCUCACCGAGAUCGUGUCUUGAUUGGCGACGCCUUCAACACGAGCACCAACAACACUAUCUUCGAGCAAAACAAGUAGUUCAGUCGCAAAGCAGGAAAGUAAGUAUUUUUCCAUCUUCAUUUCUAAUUUAGCAUGAGCUAAAUCCCCUAAACAAGAAGAGCUCUAAUCCAAGAGGAACAUCGAACUUGAUGUGGACUAUUUUGGCCAUUACGAAUAUUCAAGAGAAUCACCAAACUCGAUGUGGAUCAAUUUGGCUACUACAAGUAUUCAAAUAGAUCACCAGACUCAAUGUGGAAUACUUUGGCCACUAUGAGUAUUCAGAAAGAUCACCAGACUUGAUGUAGGUCAUUUUGCCUACUGCGAAUAUUCAAAAGGAUCACCAGACUCGAUAUGGAUCAAUUUAGCCACUACAAGUAUUCAGGAGGAUCACUAGACUCGAUGUAAAAUACUUUGGCCGCUAUGAGCAGGGCUGGAUAGAGUUCAGAAGUGAGAUCCGCCACAUCGAAAAGCCGAGUCGCAGACCAAACUUUCGAAGGCUAUAAUUUAGUCAUACGAUUCCUGAUUAAGAUGAUCUUUUUAAAAAAAUUAGGUAUCUUUUCGAGAUCUACAACUAAAAGUCAAAUCAAGCUGAAAUUCCAUCAUUUAGGUCCCAAAAUGGGUCAGUUAAACCGAAAGUUUUCUUUUCGGAUAAAACUUUAACCGAGCGUAACACUUUAUCCGAGAAUAAUCAGGCAGAGCGACAGAAAACGGAGUUGAUAUAGAAGUUAAGAUCUACCUCCUAGAAAUUUUUAGCUUUUUCUAGAUGAUUUCUACUAUAUAUGUCUAAUUAGAAAAAAGUCUUACUAGAAUUAGGAAGCAAAAUCCGGCCCAAAUUGUGUUAAGACGGACCUCACAUUAUAAAUAGAGUUUAUGUAUCUCAUUUUUAUUAAUCAUUUAUGGAAGAAAAGGGGACUUAAGCCCUACUCCCGAAAUUCCUCCAUCUUCUUCUUCUUUUUUGAGAGAGAUUCGAGUUGAGUGGGUUGAAGGAAUCUUCCUUCUUCUCAAUCGGAUCAUGCAAGGUUUGGGAAGAAUCAGACAUAUGCACCCUUACCCCUUAAUGUAGAGAGCCUGUAAGUAAAAAAAAUGACAGCCAGCAAGGCGGUUUAUAACAUAGCCACACACAUUGCACUUGAAAUAUUGAAUCAAGAUAUGUACCCACUUAUGAAUGCACUUGAAAUAUUGAAUUCUUGACUAUUUCAAGUCAGCUCUUUGAAUCCUUCUUCAUUAUUAAUUGCUAUCAUAGGUCAUGUCCUACUACUUCAAACUUCAAAUUUUCUUUUUUUUAACAACUCUCAUUCAUGCUGUCAUGCUCUCUCGAUGAAUCAUUGAAACAAAAACUAGUAUUUUUCAAAGCCACCUUGGACAACAAUUGUACAUGUGGAUGUUAACUUAAUUAUCUAUAACUUUAUCAACUAGUGCAGCACCUAUGCACCAUGAAUGUACUAAUUUCUUAUUUUAUCAUCAACUAGUGCAGCCUUCCCUAUUUUACAACACAUCACAUAAGCAUUAUUAUCUUUCAUCAUCAACCUUAAAGAUAUAUCGGUUUAUCAUCCAACGUUUUUAGCUACAUAGUGUGAUUUAUUGUUGAUAUCAAUCGGUCAUCUCUUAAACGCAUUCAACAAUCACCUAAAACACAAA